GCUUAAUGUCUCAUGACUGAGCAACGAUUCUCGUAUUUUUGUAACUCCUAAUAUUUGCAACUUGACAGUCGCGUGUAUAAAAUCCCAUACGAACUGUCAAGUUACGAAUUCUUAAAGUUACGAAUACUU
Bradysia coprophila is the source of this 129-nucleotide long non-coding RNA. Lineage: Eukaryota; Metazoa; Arthropoda; Insecta; Diptera; Sciaridae. The record is from RefSeq and is a predicted model, not a curated record.